Molecule: ribosomal RNA, 520 nt
Filed under: uncultured Glomus
Lineage: Eukaryota; Fungi; Glomeromycota; Glomeromycetes; Glomerales; Glomeraceae
Description: SSU rRNA
Rfam family: Eukaryotic small subunit ribosomal RNA
Source: RNAcentral
CGCAGCCGCGGUAAUUCCAGCUCCAAUAGCGUAUAUUAAAGUUGUUGCAGUUAAAAAGCUCGUAGUUGAAUUUCGGGAUCAAUUUAUCGGUCGUGCAAUAGUACGUACUGAUUUUAUUGAUUCCUACCUUCUGGUGAACUAUGAUGUCAUUAAUUUGGUGUCAUAGGGAAUCAGGACUGUUACUUUGAAAAAAUUAGAGUGUUUAAAGCAGGCUCACGCUUGAAUACAUUAGCAUGGAAUAACGAAAUAGGACGUUUGAUUCUAUUUUGUUGGUUUCUAGGAUCGACGUAAUGAUUAAUAGGGAUAGUUGGGGGCAUUAGUAUUCAAUUGUCAGAGGUGAAAUUCUUGGAUUUAUUGAAGACUAACUACUGCGAAAGCAUUUGCCAAGGAUGUUUUCAUUAAUCAAGAACGAAAGUUAGGGGAUCGAAGACGAUCAGAUACCGUCGUAGUUUUAACCAUAAACUAUGCCGACUAGGGAUCGGAUGAUGUUAAUUUUUUAAUGACUCAUUCGGCGCCUUAC